Molecule: non-coding RNA, 154 nt
Organism: Paramuricea clavata
Lineage: Eukaryota; Metazoa; Cnidaria; Anthozoa; Malacalcyonacea; Plexauridae
Source: the annotation of a GenBank genome assembly
UCUACGACCGCACCUACAUAUUUUUGCAUGUUUACAAUUCUAAUUUUGAACAGCCAAUCCAGUUCUUGGUAACAAUUACAAUUAAACGUCGAUUGGCUGUUUAAUUUAAAAUUUGAAUUGUAAACAUGCAAAAAUAUGUAGGUGUAGUCGUAGA